This 292-nucleotide ribosomal RNA is filed under the name uncultured Brevundimonas sp. Its description in RNAcentral is "partial 16S ribosomal RNA". It matches the Rfam family "Bacterial small subunit ribosomal RNA", at positions 505 to 796 of the family's 1533-position model. Lineage: Bacteria; Pseudomonadati; Pseudomonadota; Alphaproteobacteria; Caulobacterales; Caulobacteraceae. The record is from RNAcentral.
GUGUCAGCCGCCGCGGUAAUACGAAGGGGGCUAGCGUUGCUCGGAAUUACUGGGCGUAAAGGGAGCGUAGGCGGACAUUUAAGUCAGAGGUGAAAUCCCGGAGCUCAACUCCGGAACUGCCUUUGAUACUGGGUGUCUUGAGUGUGAGAGAGGUAUGUGGAACUCCGAGUGUAGAGGUGAAAUUCGUAGAUAUUCGGAAGAACACCAGUGGCGAAGGCGACAUACUGGCUCAUUACUGACGCUGAGGCUCGAAAGCGUGGGGAGCAAACAGGAUUAGAAACCCUAGUAGUCC